This 89-nucleotide transfer RNA is filed under the name Cordylochernes scorpioides. RNAcentral describes it as "tRNA-Tyr". It matches the Rfam family "tRNA". Rfam says of the family: Transfer RNA (tRNA) molecules are approximately 80 nucleotides in length. Their secondary structure includes four short double-helical elements and three loops (D, anti-codon, and T loops). Further hydrogen bonds mediate the characteristic L-shaped molecular structure. tRNAs have two regions of fundamental functional importance: the anti-codon, which is responsible for specific mRNA codon recognition, and the 3' end, to which the tRNAs corresponding amino acid is attached (by aminoacyl-tRNA synthetases). tRNAs cope with the degeneracy of the genetic code in two manners: having more than one tRNA (with a specific anti-codon) for a particular amino acid; and 'wobble' base-pairing, i.e. permitting non-standard base-pairing at the 3rd anti-codon position. Lineage: Eukaryota; Metazoa; Arthropoda; Arachnida; Pseudoscorpiones; Chernetidae. The record is from RNAcentral.
GUCCAGGGUAGCCUAGUGGUCAUGGCAUCUGCCCGUAAGCGGAAGGUCGUGGGUUGGAAGGUCGUGGGUUCGAUUCCCAUCCUUUGACA